RNAcentral lists this ribosomal RNA (460 nucleotides) under uncultured bacterium. RNAcentral describes it as "partial 16S ribosomal RNA". It matches the Rfam family "Bacterial small subunit ribosomal RNA", at positions 338 to 795 of the family's 1533-position model. The record is from RNAcentral.
CCUACGGGGGACAGCAGUGAGGAAUAUUGGUCAAUGGACGAGAGUCUGAACCAGCCAAGUAGCGUGAAGGAUGACUGCCCUAUGGGUUGUAAACUUCUUUUAUAUGGGAAUAAAAUGUUCCACGUGUGGGAUUUUGUAUGUACCAUAUGAAUAAGGAUCGGCUAACUCCGUGCCAGCAGCCGCGGUAAUACGGAGGAUCCGAGCGUUAUCCGGAUUUAUUGGGUUUAAAGGGAGCGUAGGUGGAUUGUUAAGUCAGUUGUGAAAGUUUGCGGCUCAACCGUAAAAUUGCAGUUGAAACUGGCAGUCUUGAGUACAGUAGAGGUGGGCGGAAUUCGUGGUGUAGCUGUGCAAUGCUUAGAUAUCACGAAGAACUCCGAUUGCGAAGGCAGUUCACUGGACUGCAACUGACACUGAGGCUCGAAAGUGUGGGUAUCAAACAGGAUUAGAUACCCUGGUAGUC